Molecule: ribosomal RNA, 432 nt
Filed under: uncultured bacterium
Lineage: Bacteria
Description: bacterial SSU rRNA
Rfam family: Bacterial small subunit ribosomal RNA
Source: RNAcentral
GUCGAGGAUCUUCGGCAAUGGGCGCAAGCCUGACCGAGCGACGCCGCGUGUGCGAUGAAGGCCUUCGGGUUGUAAAGCACUGUCGAGGGGGAGGAAGCCGCAAGGUUGACCUAUCCCUGGAGGAAGCACGGGCUAAGUUCGUGCCAGCAGCCGCGGUAAGACGAACCGUGCGAACGUUGUUCGGAAUCACUGGGCUUAAAGGGCGCGUAGGCGGUUCAUCAAGUCUGGGGUGAAAUCUUUCGGCUUAACCGGAAAAGUGCCUGGGAUACUGAUGAACUGGAGGGAGAUAGGGGCAGCUGGAACUUCCGGUGGAGCGGUGAAAUGCGUUGAUAUCGGAAGGAACUCCGGUGGCGAAAGCGAGCUGCUGGAUCUCUACUGACGCUGAGGCGCGAAAGCCAGGGGAGCAAACGGGAUUAGAUACCCUUGUAGUCC